RNAcentral lists this transfer-messenger RNA (379 nucleotides) under Bacilli. RNAcentral describes it as "JAEDES01 sp900552495 Standard tmRNA". It matches the Rfam family "transfer-messenger RNA". Rfam says of the family: Bacterial tmRNA, also known as 10Sa RNA or SsrA, is named for its dual tRNA and mRNA-like properties. Its role is to liberate the mRNA from a stalled ribosome. Lineage: Bacteria; Bacillati; Bacillota. RNAcentral also lists the same sequence under 1 other name. The record is from RNAcentral.
GGGGCUGACUUGGUUUCGACGGGAAUAUUUGAGCAUAGAUGGCAAGUCGAUUGUCCACGUCACGGACACAAAAAAAUAAACGCAAAAAAUUUAAAAAAUGCAGUAGCAAACAUGUUUGGUGGACGCCAAGCUGUAGCUUUUGCCUAAUAAUAUAAUGGCCUGCGCUUUCUAUUAAUUUUUACUCGUGGAUUUUUAGAGAGCUCAAUUUAACGAGUUAUAGCUAUUAGUUGUCUAGCUAGUAGAAAGAAUUUUUAGACUGGUAUAUUAUCUUGGUCGUUAAUUACUUGGAUAAUAUAUGAGAAUAAUUAGUUAACUAAGCUUGUAGAAGUUUAUGUAGCUUUAUUUUCGGACAGGAGUUCGAUUCUCCUCAGCUCCACCA